This 435-nucleotide long non-coding RNA is filed under the name Oryza sativa Indica Group (long-grained rice). RNAcentral's name for it is "lncRNA OsZS97_02G027460". RNAcentral also lists the same sequence under 1 other name. The record is from RNAcentral. Lineage: Eukaryota; Viridiplantae; Streptophyta; Magnoliopsida; Poales; Poaceae.
AUAGGCAGGCGACACCGCGGCGGCAGAGCGCUGCACGACCUCCGCCUCCCCAAUCCGCCCCUUCUCCUUGCCCGCCGCCCCCCGACUCCCGUCUCCUCGCAUUCGCUCACCGGUGAGCAUCCUAAUCCAUCCCAUCCGGCCUCGGCCUCGAAUUUCGUCUCCUCGCCCGCCGCUUGCGCCGAUCCCCAUCCUGCGAGCAGAGGUGGCGCCCGGCGUCCUCCUGCUUCCACCGCAUCGUCUAUCGCCGGUGACCAUCCCUCCCUCCCUAUCCACACCUCAUCAGGUAUUCUGCGUUAUCCCUCAAAAAAGUUUGGGGGUUCAACCGAAAACCGACCCCUCAACCGAAACAGGGUUAGAUCUGCCUCUGCCCAGUUCCACCUACUUUCAACUUAUGUAAUUUGGUUACUGAAUCUCAUCCAAACACCCUUAGAAUAG